Bufo bufo (common toad) is the source of this 999-nucleotide long non-coding RNA. RefSeq lists it as uncharacterized. NCBI's taxonomy places the organism in Eukaryota, Metazoa, Chordata, Amphibia, Anura, Bufonidae. The transcript is spliced from 4 exons. The record is from RefSeq and is a predicted model, not a curated record.
CCAGCACGAUGCCAUGUUUCUAAAUGGAACACAAGUAUGUGUGAGCUGCUGGAGAAAGGGCAAGUCAUCCUUUGGAUAUGGGUAACGAAAAUGCCUUUUGGAUACUGGAUCUGAAUGAGCAUAAGCAUCUGCGAGCAAAUCUAAAAAGCUUACAUUUUGAUGAAAUUUUCAUCUUUGGCUGCCAAGAAUACAUGGGAAAAGACUGUGGGAGGCUGUAAAGUACAGCGACACAAGACUUUUCUUGGUAAAGGUCAACUGUGAUCCAGAAUCAUUUUCUUUCUGAAGACAUAUUUGUAACAGCAAUAUGAUUUGUAUGAUGCAUAGAGAGCCUGCACUUCCAGAAGUAAGGAAGAAAGAAAAGGUAAGAUGAUACUGAAGGAGGCAGAAACACAGAGGAAAGCAAGUGUACAGCAAAAGUCAUGUAAAUUGGUGUGCAAGUUGGCGAAUUUCCUAAUUGUCAGUAAAGGGCAGCAGAAAGAAAGACAAAGAAAAUAAAGGAAAUUCAAGUGGAAUCAAAAGGAAAGACUGGGCAAGACAGAAAAGAAGCAGGCAUCGGCAACAGAAUAAAGAAGCUAAGACACUCAAAAUGCAGAUGCAAAUGUCAUCACUAAAGGUCAUCCCAUUCUGUUUCAAGAAGACAAAUAAAACUUAUAAAGGGGUUCUCUCACUUCAGCAAAUGGCAUUUAUCACACAAGGUUAAUACAAGGCUCUUACUAAUGUAUUGUGAUUCUCCAUAUUGCCUCCUUUGCUGGCUUGAUUCAUUUUUCCCCACCUCAUUAUACACUGCUCAUAUCCAGGGGUUACAGACCCCGCUGCAGCGCAGGUACGAGGUGGCCGGGACGGGAGCUGCUGUGCAUGUUUGCCUAUGCACGCCCCCACAGUCCCAGCCACCAGAGAGGCCGGUGCUUUUUCCUGCAGUGUGCAAGCACAACCACCAUUGAUGGAUUGCAGGGUGGUCGUAAACGCUGGAAACGAGCAGUGUAUAAUGUGAUUGAAAAA